RNAcentral lists this ribosomal RNA (447 nucleotides) under uncultured bacterium. RNAcentral describes it as "partial 16S ribosomal RNA". It matches the Rfam family "Bacterial small subunit ribosomal RNA", at positions 29 to 523 of the family's 1533-position model. The record is from RNAcentral.
AACGAACGCUGGCGGCAGGCUUAACACAUGCAAGUCGAACGCCCCGCAAGGGGAGUGGCAGACGGGUGAGUAACGCGUGGGAAUCUACCGUACCCUACGGAACAACUCCGGGAAACUGGAGCUAAUACCGUAUACGCCCUACGGGGGAAAGAUUUAUCGGGGUAUGAUGAGCCCGCGUUGGAUUAGCUAGUUGGUGGGGUAAAGGCCUACCAAGGCGACGAUCCAUAGCUGGUCUGAGAGGAUGAUCAGCCACAUUGGGACUAAGACACGGCCCAAACUCCUACGGGAGGCAGCAGUGGGGAAUAUUGGACAAUGGGCGCAAGCCUGAUCCAGCCAUGCCGCGUGAGUGAUAAAGGUCUUAGGAUUGUAAAGCUCUCUCACCGAUGAAGAUAAUGACGGUAGUCGGAGAAGAAGCCCCGGCUAACUUCGUGCCAGCCGCCGCGGUAA